GGUAAGUUCCGACCUGCACGAAUGGCGUAAUGAUGGCCAGGCUGUCUCCACCCGAGACUCAGUGAAAUUGAACUCGCUGUGAAGAUGCAGUGUACCCGCGGCAAGACGGAAAGACCCCGUGAACCUUUACUAUAGCUUGACACUGAACAUUGAGCCUUGAUGUGUAGGAUAGGUGGGAGGCUUUGAAGUGUGGACGCCAGUCUGCAUGGAGCCGACCUUGAAAUACCACCCUUUAAUGUUUGAUGUUCUAACGUGGACCCGUGAUCCGGGUUGCGGACAGUGUCUGGUGGGUAGUUUGACUGGGGCGGUCUCCUCCUAAAGAGUAACGGAGGAGCACGAAGGUUGGCUAAUCCUGGUCGGACAUCAGGAGGUUAGUGCAAUGGCAUAAGCCAGCUUGACUGCGAGCGUGACGGCGCGAGCAGGUGCGAAAGCAGGUCAUAGUGAUCCGGUGGUUCUGAAUGGAAGGGCCAUCGCUCAACGGAUAAAAGGUACUCCGGGGAUAACAGGCUGAUACCGCCCAAGAGUUCAUAUCGACGGCGGUGUUUGGCACCUCGAUGUCGGCUCAUCACAUCCUGGGGCUGAAGUAGGUCCCAAGGGUAUGGCUGUUCGCCAUUUAAAGUGGUACGCGAGCUGGGUUUAGAACGUCGUGAGACAGUUCGGUCCCUAUCUGCCGUGGGCGCUGGAGAACUGAGGGGGGCUGCUCCUAGUACGAGAGGACCGGAGUGGACGCAUCACUGGUGUUCGGGUUGUCAUGCCAAUGGCACU
Molecule: ribosomal RNA, 765 nt
Filed under: Salmonella enterica subsp. enterica serovar Anatum
Lineage: Bacteria; Pseudomonadati; Pseudomonadota; Gammaproteobacteria; Enterobacterales; Enterobacteriaceae
Description: partial 23S ribosomal RNA
Rfam family: Bacterial large subunit ribosomal RNA
Source: RNAcentral